This 274-nucleotide ribosomal RNA is filed under the name uncultured bacterium. RNAcentral's name for it is "partial 16S ribosomal RNA". It matches the Rfam family "Bacterial small subunit ribosomal RNA", at positions 523 to 796 of the family's 1533-position model. The record is from RNAcentral.
AAACGUAGGACGCGAGCGUUAUCCGGAUUCACUGGGCGUAAAGCGUGUGCAGGCGGUCGAGUAAGUCGGACGUGAAAGCUCCUGGCUCAACUGGGAGAGGCCGUUCGAGACUGCUAGACUAGAGGGCAGGAGAGGAGCGUGGAAUUCCGGGUGUAGUGGUGAAAUGCGUAGAUAUCCGAAGGAACACCGGUGGCGAAGGCGACGCUCUGGACUGCUCCUGACGCUAAGACACGAAAGCUAGGGUAGCGAACGGGAUUAGAAACCCCAGUAGUCC